UUUUAAGAGACAGCAGUAGCCACGGUAAUACGUAGGUGGCAAGCGUUGUCCGGAAUUAUUGGGCGUAAAGGGCUCGCAGGCGGUUUCUUAAGUCUGAUGUGAAAGCCCCCGGCUCAACCGGGGAGGGUCAUUGGAAACUGGGAAACUUGAGUGCAGAAGAGGAGAGUGGAAUUCCACGUGUAGCGGUGAAAUGCGUAGAGAUGUGGAGGAACACCAGUGGCGAAGGCGACUCUCUGGUCUGUAACUGACGCUGAGGAGCGAAAGCGUGGGGAGCGAACAGGAUUAGAUACCCCAGUAGUCCCUGUCUCUUAUAC
RNAcentral lists this ribosomal RNA (314 nucleotides) under uncultured bacterium. RNAcentral's name for it is "partial 16S ribosomal RNA". It matches the Rfam family "Bacterial small subunit ribosomal RNA", at positions 499 to 807 of the family's 1533-position model. The record is from RNAcentral.